Molecule: long non-coding RNA, 341 nt
Organism: Drosophila elegans
Lineage: Eukaryota; Metazoa; Arthropoda; Insecta; Diptera; Drosophilidae
Exons: 3
Source: RefSeq, a predicted model, not a curated record
AAAACGUAUACGAGUAGUGGGCUGCGCGUUCGGCAUUUCGUCAUCGCGUGAGAUCCCAGAGCUCAAUCAACGUGUUUAUCAAUUUCAAGAUUGUGAUUCUCGGUUAUAUCAAAUCGCGGCGUGACUCAGAAAGCCGUCGCCAUCGUCAGCGGCUGGAGAUGACAUAAUAAUUUGUCAAAAGGACAGCCAAGUCCUGGGUGGGGGUCUCGCAUUCCCAAUCCCUGCGUCCCACUCCGUCCAGGAUAUGGUGGGAACCGAACUGCGAUUGUCAUAAACAUUUUCCGCCAAGAACAUGUCAAAUAAAAUCUACAUUCAAAGUGCCCUCAAUCCACUUGUCAGUU